Herpailurus yagouaroundi (jaguarundi) is the source of this 2112-nucleotide long non-coding RNA. RefSeq lists it as uncharacterized. Lineage: Eukaryota; Metazoa; Chordata; Mammalia; Carnivora; Felidae. The record is from RefSeq and is a predicted model, not a curated record. The transcript is spliced from 4 exons.
CGGACCGUGAGAUCGUGACCUGAGCCAAAGUCGGAUGCUUAACCGAAUGAGCCACCCAGGUGCCCCUAAGCAGCCUUAUCUUAAACUUGCUUGGGCUUCUUACCCGACUUCCUCAAAACACCAUCAUCACGUAGAGUAGCAACAGACAAAGAGCCGUGGCCUGGAAAUCAUAAAUAUGAAGUUAGUCCCAGCCUUUGCACUGUAUAGUUCUGCUUUGGCCAAGUCACUUCAAUUGUCUAUGCCUCAGUUUACUCAUCUGUAAACCUGGGUAGGUAACAGCUGGCAAAUAACCAUGCUUUUCCACCAUGUCCUCUCUGUUACCUGUGGCAGAUAUCACAAACUGAUAAGUGCUUUGCUGGCCUAAAAAUUCUUCUCCACACAGAAAAACCCUACAAUGAAUCAGAGUUGGCAUUAAAGAUGAAACAUUUUUGCCGUUCCUGUGCUGUGAGAUGUUUAAAGCCCAAAGUCAACAGAGCGAGUCUUCAUGUCUUUAUGCAUAAGCAUGGAAUAUAUUUCUUGGUUGUCGAAUAUGAUAUAUUAGAAAUUAUUUUUACUGUCAAUAUUUUCCUCAUAGCUAAACAUUUGCCCAUAGAGAUUCAUUUUUAAAAUUUUAAAUCAGUUCAUUAUACCAAGAAGUGCUAUUGGAAAACUAUAAAGGUCACAGAGACCAGAGUUUCCCUGCGUCAGAGUCAAAUCAGGAAAGAGAAACCGUACUGUAAUGUGAAUGUGAAAUUUUAAUAACAAUCAUUAAUUAUAAUAGGAUUAGAGUAUUGAGGGAUUGCCUAGUAAAAAUGAAGAGAAUAAAUUUUUAAAAACCACAGGAAUAACAUGUAAGGAGCAGCCACUACCCCUAGGGCUGUGAGCGUACCCAAAGAAGAGCCCAACUCCCCCACCCAAGCUUCUGGAGAGGGCACACUGAUGGCUCACUGGAUGGCACAGAAGUCACUGGGGGACCGCAUUGGUGGAACUUGCUGGAAAUCCACCCUCUAACCCUUGCCCGAAAUCCUGUCUCCAGGGGGCUGGGGAAAGCUACUCCUAGAAAGGUGUCUUGUGGAAGGGACUCAGCCAUUAAACUGCUUGAGCUGCCUGAUGGGGUACAGGUGAGACUCCGGCUGCUGGACGCUGCCGAUCACCCUACAGUGGGGCCAAGAGCUAGGGAAGCUGCCCAUGCUCCAGGCAGUAGGCGCCAGGGAAGCCGUGGACCUGCGGCGACCUGCUAAGAGCACGCCACGACCGGAGGAGCCACUUCGCCCUCUGGCACCCUCUACUGACAGCUUAAUAUCGUGGCAGCUGGCAAAACAGAAACAGUUAAAAGAUCGAACUCCCACGCCGCGGUGCAGGCAACGGAAGAUGGGUUUGCAGCCGAGAGGCAAACUGAUAACUGGUCUGUUCCUCUUUCCAAAGGACUCUUUGGUGUUAGCUGUUGUGUGCAACGGAGAAGUAAAUUCUCAACCCUUCUCUCUGUGGACUUAGCUUGGCUAGGCUUGGGUCACUUCUGCCUUGCCCUUAGAGAUCAGAACAAAAUUUGGCAAGUGAGACUACUCCGUGGUUUCUGAGUUGGCUUAAUUUCUCAAUAUUAUACCAGUGUCAAGAUUCACUGUUGCUAGAACUAAUACUUUUAAAAAUUAAGUAUGUCAUGAUUUGGAAAUUUGAUAUCACAGAAAUAUAUCAUGAUAGGUUAAAAUAACCUUGUCUCCAAACACUUUCCAGGUACAAAAAUAAACAACUAGAACUAUACAUGGGAAUGGAAGACCAGAGUUAGUGAAUGAAGAUAUGAAAGUGCUUUGAAAGCAAGCUGGGAGGUUUUGAUGACAACCUUUUGGCCAUUCGAAUCUUAAAGAAAUCCAGAAGGACACGUGCUGAAGAUAUAGAACCUGUUGUGGGGCUGGCCCGAUGAAGACUUGCCACAGAACAAAAGGAAAUGGCGGGUUACUGACCUGCCCUUCGGAGAGGUUCCAGAGCAAUCUUCGGGGAUCGCCCUAUGGAGCGCCUGACCGGAACCUUGAAUGUGAAGCUGUGCUUGGUGAUCUCCCAAACAGAGGUACCACGUUCACACUUCUCUAACUAGUGUCCUCGGAGAUUCCUCAUGGAAAAAAAGUGUCCCAUGGUCCA